This 470-nucleotide ribosomal RNA is filed under the name Aricidea pseudoarticulata. RNAcentral's name for it is "partial large subunit ribosomal RNA". It matches the Rfam family "Bacterial large subunit ribosomal RNA", at positions 1928 to 2605 of the family's 2925-position model. The record is from RNAcentral. Lineage: Eukaryota; Metazoa; Annelida; Polychaeta; Paraonidae.
CGGCCGCGGUACCCUGACCGUGCUAAGGUAGCAUAAUCCCUUGCCUCUUAAUUAGUGGCUAGUAUGAAUGGAUAAACGAAAAUUUAGCCGUCUCUAUAAAUUUUAUAAAAAUUAUCUUUCAAGUGAAGAGACUUGAAUAAUAAUAAAAGACAAGAAGACCCUGUAGAGCCUAAGCACUCCUUAAAUUCUAAAAAUAAAACUAAACUGUAUAUUUUAAAAAUGCUUAAGUUGGGGCGACUUAGGAACACCUAAAACUUCCUUCUUCACAUAAGGCAUCUACGCCUAAAAAAUGAUCCGUCUAUCUUUUUAUUACGACCAAAAGAAAAGGCUACCUCAGGGAUAACAGUCUAAUCUUCCUUAAGAGCCCAAAUUGACAGGAAGGAUUGGCACCUCGAUGUUGGCUUAGGGGCCCUUCAAGGUGCAGCCACCUUGAAAGUAGGUUUGUUCAACCUUUAAUACCCUACGUGAUC